AAGUCGUAACAAGGUUUCCGUAGGUGAACCUGCGGAAGGAUCAUUACCAAAUCCAAAUUUACCUAACCCCGUGUGAACUAUUGUUUUAGUCUGUCUUUGGGAAGAAAAAUAUUUUUAUUGUAUUAAAAAAAGACAUUGAUCUUUUUUUGUGUCCAAUUUAGUAUUUUUUUUCCCAAAAGAAUCCAGCUCGUUUGGAUUCUUUGAACCCACUUUAUUAAACCACUUGAUUCAUUGUUGGAAUUUUUUUAUAAUUUUAAAAUAAAAAAACAACUUUUAACGGCGGAUCUCUUGGCUCGUG
RNAcentral lists this unclassified non-coding RNA (298 nucleotides) under fungal sp. RNAcentral describes it as "partial internal transcribed spacer region". The stretch from base 1 to 46 matches the Rfam family "Eukaryotic small subunit ribosomal RNA", at positions 1786 to 1831 of the family's 1831-position model. The record is from RNAcentral. Lineage: Eukaryota; Fungi.